GUGCCAGCAGCCGCGGUAAUACGAAGGGGGCUAGCGUUGUUCGGAUUUACUGGGCGUAAAGCGCACGUAGGCGGACUAAUAAGUCAGGGGUGAAAUCCCGGGGCUCAACCCCGGAACUGCCUUUGAUACUGUUAGUCUUGAGUAUGGAAGAGGUGAGUGGAAUUCCGAGUGUAGAGGUGAAAUUCGUAGAUAUUCGGAGAAACACCAGUGGCGAAGGCGGCUCACUGGUCCAUUACUGACGCUGAGGUGCGAAAGCUGGGGGAGAAAACAGGAUUAGAUCCCCGGGUAGUCCACGCCGUAAACGAUGAAUGUUAGCCGUCGGGGUGUUUACACUUCGGUGGCGCAGCUAACGCAUUAAACAUUCCGCCUGGGGAGUACGGUCGCAAGAUUAAAACUUAAAUGAAUUGACGG
This 411-nucleotide ribosomal RNA is filed under the name uncultured bacterium. RNAcentral describes it as "bacterial SSU rRNA". It matches the Rfam family "Bacterial small subunit ribosomal RNA", at positions 505 to 916 of the family's 1533-position model. The record is from RNAcentral.